GCCCGAGAGUCGGCGGCCGGAUCUUGUAAAGCGGGGGUCGUCGGUUCGAACCCGACAGGGGGCUCCA
RNAcentral lists this transfer RNA (67 nucleotides) under Streptomyces sp. FIT100. RNAcentral describes it as "tRNA-Ser". Lineage: Bacteria; Bacillati; Actinomycetota; Actinomycetes; Kitasatosporales; Streptomycetaceae. The record is from RNAcentral.